UGCUAUCGACAAUCAUAAUUCUUAUCGUCAAGAAUUAUCAUACUCCACCAUAAAAGAGUAUCGCCACUUGGAACCACUUUAUCGACUCCAAGAAUUUUCCAUCGGCCAUGUCGGAUCCCGCUAAUAGUUUAUGGUGCAACCCUCCUGUUGACUUUUCCGAGAGUUCAUUAGCCAUCGACAUAUUUUUUCCACCACACACUUUGCAUCAACGUCAACCAAUGCCGUGCGCAUUUUCGUGGACCAGCUACCAAUAAUCCGUCCUCUUCCAUGGCAUCUCUACGAGUAGCAAUCAUGCCAUAAGGACACACAUCUCUCAAUUACAGAGAGA
This 328-nucleotide long non-coding RNA is filed under the name Jatropha curcas. RNAcentral's name for it is "long non-coding RNA (JCUR_LNC001464)". Lineage: Eukaryota; Viridiplantae; Streptophyta; Magnoliopsida; Malpighiales; Euphorbiaceae. The record is from RNAcentral.